GGUUAAGCGACUAAGCGUACACGGUGGAUGCCCUGGCAGUCAGAGGCGAUGAAGGACGUGCUAAUCUGCGAAAAGCGUCGGUAAGGUGAUAUGAACCGUUAUAGCCGGCGAUGUCCGAAUGGGGAAACCCAGUGCAAUUCGUUGCACUAUCGUUUGAUGAAUACAUAGUCAAACGAGGCGAACCGGGGGAACUGAAACAUCUAAGUACCCCGAGGAAAAGAAAUCAACCGAGAUUCCCCCAGUAGCGGCGAGCGAACGGGGAGCAGCCCGGAGUCUGAAUCAGCUUGUGUGUUAGUGGAAGCGUCUGGAAAGUCGCAGGGUACAGGGUGAUACUCCCGUACACUAAAACACACAGGCUGUGAACUCGAAGAGUAGGGCGGGACACGUGGUAUCCUGUCUGAAUAUGGGGGGACCAUCCUCCAAGGCUAAAUACUCCUGACUGACCGAUAGUGAACCAGUACCGUGAGGGAAAGGCGAAAAGAACCCCGGCGAGGGGAGUGAAAAAGAACCUGAAACCGUGUACGUACAAGCAGUAGGAGCCUCUUUAUGGGGUGACUGCGUACCUUUUGUAUAAUGGGUCAGCGACUUAUAUUCUGUAGCAAGGUUAACCGUAUAGGGGAGCCGCAGGGAAACCGAGUCUUAACUGGGCGUUAAGUUGCAGGGUAUAGACCCGAAACCCGGUGAUCUAGCCAUGGGCAGGUUGAAGGUUGGGUAACACUAACUGGAGGACCGAACCGACUAAUGUUGAAAAAUUAGCGGAUGACUUGUGGCUGGGGGUGAAAGGCCAAUCAAACCGGGAGAUAGCUGGUUCUCCCCGAAAGCUAUUUAGGUAGCGCCUCGUGAACUCAUCUUCGGGGGUAGAGCACUGUUUCGGCUAGGGGUCAUCCCGACUUACCAACCCGAUGCAAACUACGAAUACCGAAGAAUGUUAUCACGGGAGACACACGGCGGGUGCUAACGUCCGUCGUGAAGAGGGAAACAACCCAGACCGCCAGCUAAGGUCCCAAAGUCAUGGUUAAGUGGGAAACGAUGUGGGAAGGCCCAGACAGCCAGGAUGUUGGCUUAGAAGCAGCCAUCAUUUAAAGAAAGCGUAAUAGCUCACUGGUCGAGUCGGCCUGCGCGGAAGAUGUAACGGGGCUAAACCAUGCACCGAAGCUGCGGCAGCGACACUAUGUGUUGUUGGGUAGGGGAGCGUUCUGUAAGCCGUUGAAGGUGGCCUGUGAGGGUUGCUGGAGGUAUCAGAAGUGCGAAUGCUGACAUAAGUAACGAUAAUGCGGGUGAAAAACCCGCACGCCGGAAGACCAAGGGUUCCUGUCCAACGUUAAUCGGGGCAGGGUGAGUCGACCCCUAAGGCGAGGCCGAAAGGCGUAGUCGAUGGGAAACAGGUUAAUAUUCCUGUACUCGGUGUUACUGCGAAGGGGGGACGGAGAAGGCUAUGUUGGCCGGGCGACGGUUGUCCCGGUUUAAGCAUGUAGGCGGAUGUUCCAGGUAAAUCCGGAACGUUAUCAACGCUGAGGUGUGAUGACGAGGCACUACGGUGCUGAAGUGACAAAUGCCCUGCUUCCAGGAAAAGCCUCUAAGCAUCAGGUAACAUCAAAUCGUACCCCAAACCGACACAGGUGGUCAGGUAGAGAAUACCAAGGCGCUUGAGAGAACUCGGGUGAAGGAACUAGGCAAAAUGGUGCCGUAACUUCGGGAGAAGGCACGCUGAUAUGUAGGUGAAGUGGUUUACCCAUGGAGCUGAAAUCAGUCGAAGAUACCAGCUGGCUGCAACUGUUUAUUAAAAACACAGCACUGUGCAAACACGAAAGUGGACGUAUACGGUGUGACGCCUGCCCGGUGCCGGAAGGUUAAUUGAUGGGGUUAUCCGUAAGGAGAAGCUCUUGAUCGAAGCCCCGGUAAACGGCGGCCGUAACUAUAACGGUCCUAAGGUAGCGAAAUUCCUUGUCGGGUAAGUUCCGACCUGCACGAAUGGCGUAAUGAUGGCCAGGCUGUCUCCACCCGAGACUCAGUGAAAUUGAACUCGCUGUGAAGAUGCAGUGUACCCGCGGCAAGACGGAAAGACCCCGUGAACCUUUACUAUAGCUUGACACUGAACACUGGUCCUUGAUGUGUAGGAUAGGUGGGAGGCUUUGAAGCGUGGACGCCAGUCUGCGUGGAGCCAUCCUUGAAAUACCACCCUUUAAUGGCUGGUGUUCUAACGUGGGCCCGUUAUCCGGGUUGCGGACAGUGUCUGGUGGGUAGUUUGACUGGGGCGGUCUCCUCCUAAAGAGUAACGGAGGAGCACGAAGGUCAGCUAAUCCUGGUCGGACAUCAGGAGGUUAGUGCAAUGGCAUAAGCUGGCUUGACUGCGAGCGUGACGGCGCGAGCAGGUGCGAAAGCAGGUCAUAGUGAUCCGGUGGUUCUGAAUGGAAGGGCCAUCGCUCAACGGAUAAAAGGUACUCCGGGGAUAACAGGCUGAUACCGCCCAAGAGUUCAUAUCGACGGCGGUGUUUGGCACCUCGAUGUCGGCUCAUCACAUCCUGGGGCUGAAGUAGGUCCCAAGGGUAUGGCUGUUCGCCAUUUAAAGUGGUACGCGAGCUGGGUUUAGAACGUCGUGAGACAGUUCGGUCCCUAUCUGCCGUGGGCGCUGGAGAAUUGAGGGGGCUGCUCCUAGUACGAGAGGACCGGAGUGGACGCAUCACUGGUGUUCGGGUUGUCAUGCCAAUGGCAUUGCCCGGUAGCUAAAUGCGGAAGAGAUAAGUGCUGAAAGCAUCUAAGCACGAAACUUGCCCCGAGAUGAGUUCUCCCUGACUCCUUGAGAGUCCUGAAGGAACGUUGAAGACGACGACGUUGAUAGGCCGGGUGUGUAAGCGCAGCGAUGCGUUGAGCUAACCGGUACUAAUGAACCGUGAGGCUUAACCUU
This 2905-nucleotide ribosomal RNA is filed under the name Klebsiella grimontii. RNAcentral's name for it is "23S ribosomal RNA". It matches the Rfam family "Bacterial large subunit ribosomal RNA". The record is from RNAcentral. Lineage: Bacteria; Pseudomonadati; Pseudomonadota; Gammaproteobacteria; Enterobacterales; Enterobacteriaceae.